UGGGGAAUAUUGCACAAUGGGCGAAAGCCUGAUGCAGCGACGCCGCGUGAGGGAUUACGGCCUUCGGGUUGUAAACCUCUUUCAGUAGGGACGAAGCGCAAGUGACGGUACCUGCAGAAGAAGCACCGGCUAACUACGUGCCAGCAGCCGCGGUAAUACGUAGGGUGCGAGCGUUGUCCGGAAUUACUGGGCGUAAAGAGCUCGUAGGCGGUUUGUCACGUCGUCUGUGAAAUCCUAGGGCUUAACCCUGGACGUGCAGGCGAUACGGGCUGACUUGAGUACUACAGGGGAGACUGGAAUUUCUGGUGUAGCGGUGGAAUGCACAGAUAUCAGGAAGAACACCGAUGGCGAAGGCAGGUCUCUGGGUAGUAACUGACGUUGAGGAGCGAAAGCAUGGGUAGCGAACAGG
RNAcentral lists this ribosomal RNA (409 nucleotides) under bacterium. Its description in RNAcentral is "partial 16S ribosomal RNA". It matches the Rfam family "Bacterial small subunit ribosomal RNA", at positions 355 to 776 of the family's 1533-position model. The record is from RNAcentral.